CGGCAACAGCUCAAAUUUGAAAUCUGGCUCCUUUGGAGUCCGAGUUGUAAUUUGGAGAGGAUGUUUCGGGCACGGUCCGGGCUUAAAUUUCUUGGAACAGAAUGUCACGGAGGGUGAGAAUCCCGUCUGGAGCUCGGACACGACCCAUGUGAAACUCCUUCGAC
Molecule: ribosomal RNA, 164 nt
Filed under: Cyphellophora eucalypti
Lineage: Eukaryota; Fungi; Ascomycota; Eurotiomycetes; Chaetothyriales; Cyphellophoraceae
Description: partial large subunit ribosomal RNA
Rfam family: Eukaryotic large subunit ribosomal RNA
Source: RNAcentral